ACACUAUCCACGUUGCAGAGUUCAGCACAGCAGGGUGGCCGGCAGAUGUACGGCGAGCUGGCAUUUACCCCAACACUUUUUCAAUUCAGUUUAAUAAAAAAUAUUGACACAAAAGCAUUGAAGAUUACUGUUUGUUUAGAAUGAUUUGCCUUUAUGAUUUGCCAACUCGUGCUUCAGUCUGAUCAACUGUAGUCUACUGAUAACAGCUACAGGUGGGCCUAGAGAAACCUAUGCACUCUGGUCUCUUCUGGCCAGGUGAAACGAAGCGGUAAUGUGGUGUUUUUAUAGCCAAAGCUUUGUAUUUAAAGCCUAAAAUAGGCCUAUUUUAUUUGUGUUUUAAGAGAAAAUGUGACUGUGAUCAAAUUAGAUUUGUAUAUUUUCCGCCUUCGGGUGGCUAGUCUACCCAGACCGUAUCAAUCCAAAAUGAUUGACUGAAAUCAAUCGAUGAACACCAUAGUGAUGACAUAGUGUAUGAGUCACUUUUCAAUUACAGAUGUUAAAAGGCCCACACUGUGUAACCGUGCCUACAGUCAGCCCUGUUGGUUCUAUUGGCCAAUCACAGUUGUUGAUUACUAGGAAAAACCCUCCUGUGGUGCCACCUCUGAAAAUCACCCCCACAGAGAGACGGAUGAAGAAGCAUGCUCUACAAUCUCAACCAUUAUUAUUUUUAGUAUCUCAUCAUAAAACACAGGUUAUAUAAUAUACAACAGGAAACACAGGUUAUAUAAUAUACAACAGGAAACACAGGUUAUAUAAUAUACAACAGGAAACACAGGUUAUAUAAUAUACAACAGGAAACACAGGUUAUAUAAUAUACAACAGGAAACACAGGUUAUAUAAUAUACAACAGGAAACACAGGUUAUAUAAUAUACAACAGGAAACACAGGUUAUAUAAUAUACAACAGGAAACACAGGUUAUAUAAUAUACAACAGGAAACACAGGUUAUAUAAUAUACAACAGGAAACACAGGUUAUAUAAUAUACAACAGGAAACACAGGUUAUAUAAUAUACAACAGGAAACACAGGUUAUAUAAUAUACAACAGGAAACACAGGUUAUAUAAUAUACAACAGGAAACAUGGCGGAGGGGUAUUUUCUUUCUUAUCAUUCUGUCACUUAUUCAGCGUCAUUCUAGGAAGAUGGAGAUGAGGUGAGGAAGCUACGUUAGACACCCAGAGAGUCUCCCUUCCAGUCCCUUCUGAUGGUGCAGAUUUAAUUCACAGUCCCUAAGCGCUGAUCCUGAAUCAGUCUUAAAUUAUUUUUGUGUGGUCUGUUUGGAGGAUGGGGAUUAUUAGUGGUUGGAGGACAGAUCCUAGAUCAGAUCUUAUGGGAACGACUGACUUCGAUGUUGUCUAUGUAAGGGAAUUACAGUCAAUUCAAAUGCCAAUCCCAAGGGCUCAAACCAAUGAACUCAGUUUAUUUCAACACGUUUCUAAACCCGGUCAAGAAGGACAUGAAACGAUCCCUAUUCCAAAUGAUUAUUUAUGUCACAGUGUUGUCAUUUGCAUGUAAUAAUGGGUGGGCCCAUGUUGAGGUAAACUGGACACGGAAUCAGAAUCGUCCCUUGUUGCCUGGCAACCGAACCUCUGGAACAUUCAGUGUUCUGAUUGAUCAGCUUCUGUCUUCCAUCUUGUUUUUUUUUACAUUUUAAAGCUAUGAUAAUUAUUCCCAGGGAGACCAGUCAGCUCUUUGCACAGUUCUUCCACAACAUGGCUUGCAUUCGUUUGGACGUCUUUGUAUAUUUCAACUUUGAGAUUUUAUGAUUUGAGAAUAAAACUGUUUAAUUUC
Molecule: long non-coding RNA, 1789 nt
Organism: Oncorhynchus nerka (sockeye salmon)
Lineage: Eukaryota; Metazoa; Chordata; Actinopteri; Salmoniformes; Salmonidae
Exons: 2
Source: RefSeq, a predicted model, not a curated record